AGAGUUUGAUUCUGGCUCAGGACGAACGCUGGCGGCGUGCUUAACACAUGCAAGUCGAACGGAACUGUUAUGGAAUGUCUUCGGACAGGAAGUUUCAGUUUAGUGGCGAACGGGUGAGUAACGCGUGAGGAACCUGCCUUUCAGAGGGGGACAACAGUUGGAAACGACUGCUAAUACCGCAUAACACAUAUUCUUCGCAUGAAGGACAUGUCAAAGAUUUUAUCGCUGAAAGAUGGCCUCGCGUCUGAUUAGAUAGUUGGUGGGGUAACGGCCCACCAAGUCGACGAUCAGUAGCCGGACUGAGAGGUUGAACGGCCACAUUGGGACUGAGAUACGGCCCAGACUCCUACGGGAGGCAGCAGUGGGGAAUAUUGGGCAAUGGGCGCCAAGCCUGACCCAGCAACGCCGCGUGAAGGAAGAAGGCUUUCGGGUUGUAAACUUCUUUUACCAGGGACGAAGGAUGUGACGGUACCUGGAGAAAAAGCCACGGCUAACUACGUGCCAGCCGCGGC
This 512-nucleotide ribosomal RNA is filed under the name uncultured bacterium. RNAcentral's name for it is "bacterial SSU rRNA". It matches the Rfam family "Bacterial small subunit ribosomal RNA", at positions 8 to 518 of the family's 1533-position model. The record is from RNAcentral.